Molecule: long non-coding RNA, 1481 nt
Organism: Mustela lutreola (European mink)
Lineage: Eukaryota; Metazoa; Chordata; Mammalia; Carnivora; Mustelidae
Exons: 4
Source: RefSeq, a predicted model, not a curated record
AAAAAAAAAGUCAUCGAAAAUGUGCUUUAAAAAAACAAACAUAAAACUGGUCCUUGAACCCUGUUGGAUAUCAGCGUUCUGAGGCCAAGGUCUAACGGGAGCAGAAGGUUGUAGGGAGGAGAUAACUUCCCUUCCCGGUGGAUCCAGCCUCUCCUUUAGCUAGCACAUUAUCCGUUCCAGUUUCCUUUUUCUUGAGCUUCAUCUCGUUUAAGCAGCUCUGAUGAGUGCUGGCUGUCUCUCUUGUUGCCGGGUGUUAAUAGAGUGCAGAGCAGGUGAAAAUCUCGGGGACAUUGGACAUGGUCCGCGAACACGUAAGCGCAGCCUGGAGUUUGGAAAAGCCGCAUAGAAUGCUGGCACCGUGUUAGCUUCUGGAUAUAGAGCAACAGCAAAAUGAACACAGCCCCCGCCUUAUUGUUCGUACAGCUCAGCUCUGCACGGGAAGACAGACAAGAAACAGCACCCACUUGCAAUUAAAUACAACAGUAAUUAAAAUCUCUAAAUUCACUCAGAAUGACUGUCCCAUCGGUCACAUCCAGAAAGCCUUCAAAUGUCAUUGUGAAAAGAAUGUCUUCUCAGAGAUGCCAGGUGCUAAGACAGAGGCAGGAGUGGUAUUGGAAUUGGAUCAAGGUGAUAGACCGAACGCAGAUGACUGCCAGAUUUUUAGGACAACAGGGAUAAACCCAACAAGCACAAGAAACUAGGAGAAAGAAACAUACACCAGAGAAAAACUCUAUGAAGAGUAAAAGAGAACGCAAGACCCUCCACACAGAUUGGAGAAAUACGAAGACUGGGAGGGGGGCCUUGGCUCCAUCAAUACGUGCUUAUACGUGAUUAAUAGUUCACAAGCAGUGUUAACAUUUCCUUGGCCGUUUUGUAUAUUCCUGUGUAAAUGUACAUACAUAUACAUGAAUAUUUAUGUAUUCUAUUAUUGGGUUAUUGGAGUCACGCUCCUACUAAGGUUUAGAGUUUGCAGUCAGGGAAGCUGAGGGGAGACCUUCAAGGUCACCAGGGAUAAGGACUGGGUAAUAUCCACGGGGUUUGGCAAAGAAAGAGUUAAGCUGGUAGGCUUGUGUGGAACAGCUCUGGAGGGCUCGCUGGAAAAGAGUCCUGGCUCCCAACAUGGGAGAUGAGGGAGAACAGAGAGCGCUGUAGCUAGAGGAGGGGCUGCGUGGCACGAGCGACUUGACUUGUAAGCUGAGAAAAGCUUGAAUGUGUUAUGUAGACGGUGCCCAUGCGUGUCAACAUCUGGAAGAACGAGGAGAGUCACUAAGAGCUCAGUGGUCGGGGACAAGUCAAGGCAGAGCCAGAAAGUUCUUUGAACGUGCCGAAGCAAAUGGGGAAGGAGUCCUGGAAGGAAUUGCCUUAGACACCACCAAAAUGACUUCAGCAACACGUUCUCCUGCCUUCUCACUAACAAGAAACAGUGGCACACACAGCACUUAGUAACUUCCACGAGCGAUGGCAGGAGAUGGCCUCCAGCU